This 417-nucleotide ribosomal RNA is filed under the name uncultured soil bacterium. RNAcentral describes it as "bacterial SSU rRNA". It matches the Rfam family "Bacterial small subunit ribosomal RNA", at positions 26 to 439 of the family's 1533-position model. The record is from RNAcentral.
AGGACGAACGCUGGCGGCGUGCUUAACACAUGCAAGUCGAGCGGAAAGGCCUUUCGGGGUACUCGAGCGGCGAACGGGUGAGUAACACGUGAGUAAUCUGCCCAUCGCUUCAGGAUAGCCAUCGGAAACGGUGAUUAAUACUGGAUAUGACAUUCCUUCGCAUGUUGGGGUGUGGAAAGUUUUUUCGGCGGUGGAUGUGCUCGCGGCCUAUCAGCUUGUUGGUGGGUAAUGGCCUACCAAGGCUUUGACGGGUAGCCGGCUGAGAGGGUGACCGGCCACACGUGGGACUGAGACACGGCCCAGACUCCGUACGGGAGCAGCAGGUGGGAAUAUGGACAAGUGGGACGGAAGCCUAGACUCCGAGCCAACGCCGCGUGGAGGAUGACGGUCCGUUCGGGUUACGUAACCUCGUUUCGA